RNAcentral lists this long non-coding RNA (1129 nucleotides) under Ficedula albicollis (Collared flycatcher). RNAcentral's name for it is "lncRNA (ENSFALG00000024145.1)". The record is from RNAcentral. Lineage: Eukaryota; Metazoa; Chordata; Aves; Passeriformes; Muscicapidae.
CCCCCCCCCCCCCCCCCCCGGUCACCGACGGAACUGCAGCGGCGGCGCUAAUGAGGGGGCGUUAAUGAGGUUCCAUUAACGGGGGUCUUCAUUAGGGGCUGAUAAUGAGGGAGGGGCGGAAUGAGGGGCGUUAACGAAGGGAGGUGCCAAUGAGGGGGCUUAAUGAGGGGCAGCAUUAAUGGGAAGGUUAAUGAAGGAGCAUUAAUGAGGAAGGUUAAUGAGCUGACCUGGGCGGAUGGGAGGCUCCUUACUCCAAUUAACAGGCAGGCCCAUCCCCACUAAUGAGUAAUUCAGAGCAGCAGGAGCCCAGCUAAUUGCUGCCAUCAGCCAUAUAUUAACAUAUGCUAAUGAGCUAGUGUAAUUAAACAGGAGAUUGUUAAUGGAACGGGGAUAGGCGGGAUGAACUGACAGGCACGAAGGACAGAGCAGGGAUUAUUGGGGGGCUGGGCUUCAUUAGUUUAAUUAAGGGGGUUAAUUAACCUGCCCUUGUGCAAGGACUCAGCCCCGCCCUCCUGUCAAUCACUGAGAAACCACGCCCAUCCUGUGUCAAUCUCGCUCGGCCCCGCCCCUCGGCCGUGAACAUGAAUGAACAGCUGGAGGGGGCGGGGCGAUAUUUGGAUUGACAGCAGCAAUGGCCAAUGGGGAGCGGCGGGGCGGGACUGACGGCAGUGCAGCCAAUGGGGAGCGGCAGGGCGGGACUGGCGGCUGCAAUGGCCAAUGACCAGCGGCGAGGACGGGCCUCCUUGGCCAAUGAGGAGUUGCUGAUGCUCAGUCCAACCAAUGAGCGGCGGGAGCGGGGGAGGGGCGGGGCCGCAGGAGCACCGUGCCCGUGAGGGGAAAGGCGGCGGGAGCAGGAGAAAGGUGAGGGGAUAUCGAGAUAUCGCGAUAGACACAGGGAUACACGCAGGGAUCUCGGCAUAGCGGGUACAGGGGAAAGCUGGAGAGCGAUGAGCGGAACACCGCGAUGUCGCGAUGUCGGGACAUCGGGCUAGCCGAGCGCAGGGUCGGAGGCUGAGCGGGACACCCGAUACCGGGAGGAGAACGUNGGCGUGGUUUCGGUACCAUUGUGGGCGGGGUCUCUCUCCGCUCCGGGCGUGGUUUCUGUCCCGUUGUGGGCGUGGUUUCUGUC